Molecule: long non-coding RNA, 4940 nt
Filed under: Sus scrofa (pig)
Lineage: Eukaryota; Metazoa; Chordata; Mammalia; Artiodactyla; Suidae
Description: lncRNA (ENSSSCG00000053965.1)
Source: RNAcentral
CCCAUCAUGAUGGCUGUACUGUCAUGACCUAAUUGCCACCUAAAGACCUCAUCUCCAAAUACUGUCACAUUGGAGAUUAGGCAGAGAUUGGAGAUUAUACAAAUUGGGGGUGGUGGGGAAUGACACAAAGAAUUCAGCUUAUAGCAAUUAUUAUGUUCUUUAAAAAGUUAUAAUCAUCUGUUGAUUGGUAAAAUUGAGGCGCAUAUUAAAGCGAUACAGUCUCUAAGUUACACGUUUGUAGUUUCCAUGAUUGCCACUAUUCCCCCUUUCUGAAAAUCAGACCACUUCUCUCAUAUCUUGUCUUUCGAAGCUAAUUCCCACGAAACAAAAUUCCUCUGAGAUUUCUGUGGUUGUCAAAUAGCCCUUGAAAUUCCUUCAGUCCCAUGGAAUGGAAUUCCCAAGGUCCAGAGACUUGAACUCAUAAAAACCAUCAGCUGACCUCCUACUGAAUCUUGUUUGUUGGGAAAAUUAAAACAAACUAUGGCAGUUUUCAACUAUUUUCAACAAUCAACAUUUUCAACUAUCUAUGAGAUAUUCAGGAAUCCAUUGUUGGUAAGAGUUCGCUACUUUGCUGAAGUGUCUGGCUCUGGCCCACUCUCACUGUGGUAAAUGGCAUCCGCAUACCUAGCUAGUGACAACUCGUCUACUACCCCACAUCCCCACCUCACCUGUGUGUUCUGUGUUCUUACUCUUUAUCCCAUUACGGUGAUUAUAACCUUUCUGUCUUUAGGAAAAUGAUACUGAACAAAAAGCUAUCACCUAUGGCGAUGUAAGUAAAAAAGGCUUAAAAUUAAAAAAAAAAAAAAAUAGAUGACAUUCUUGAAUGUGGAAGUUGUGAAAGUCUGGAAUCAAAUGCCUCAAGAAUGCCAGAGCACUUUGGUGGCAUGAUGAUUUGUGGAAAUACAGAUCUGUGUUGUGCUUUCUGUAUUUUUCUCCUCCUUUCACUCCAAAAAGGUGAUUGGGUCGUUGGGUCAUUAUUUGGCUAAAACUGACGCUGUUUCAGAGUAAUUUUGCUUCUCAUCUUCUGUGAAAGGCUGAGCAUGUUAAAGAGGUGGUACUAUGAGUUCUAGAGGAAGACCAGAAAGAAGGAGAAAGAGAUUUUCCUUAGAGGGAUAAGGGUUAGAAUUUGAUGGCUUCAUGAGACCCCUUAACAAAGAGGUGGCAAGACCACAGAGGGUAUGGCUCCCAACCUUACUGCAACAGAGAGCACUAGGCUUCCAGGGGCCCUGUGGGGUGAACAGAGAGAAAAACAGAAAGAACCAGGUGGCCUAAAGAUUAGAUAGAGAUUGCUAAGUUUCAUCAGUAUCUGUUGUGCCUCUCCUUCCUGGGCACACAGGUCAAGUCUGUGUCUCUGCCAGUCCCCUCACAUCUAAGUGGGGCCAAGUGACUGAGUCUGGCUGAUGGAGUGUGGGUUGACAUAACAUAUAGCACUUUCAGGCCUGACCCUUGAAGGUGUUCUCACAAUCUCUCUAUUGCCACCUCUGGUCUGAGUGGCAGUAAGCAAAGAAUUGCAAAGCCUAGACAAUGACAGGAAGAGCCCAUGAUGGAAGGAGCCUAGAUCCUUGAGUUACUGCCCAGGGGGAGCAGCCCAGGAUGGCUUCCUGACCAAGGAGCAUCCACUCUAGACUGGGUACAAAAUAAAAUUCUUAAGACACUGUGAUCUGAAGUCUUGGUCAUAAUGACUAACUUUAAUUACACUGCCUAAUUCAGAUGUCUCACCCCUCUUUCUUAUGCAACACAUGUGCUUCCUGGAUGCUUACAUCUGCAGUAGAGGAGGAGACACAAAUGACAACUGAGAUUGAAUUUCUCACUGACUCAAUGGGACCCUGAGAGAUGCCUUUCAUUUGACUUAAAGAAAAUGCAAGACUUGGAAACAAAACAAUGGUGUAGACUAGUUUUACCUCAAUUUUCUUUCUGAAAAAGAACAGGAUUUGGGAAUCUAGCCCUCUGACCAACAAGAUUCCCCAGCACACGUCAAGCAGUAAUUCUUUCCACAAGGUUGGCAUCAGCUUCCUAAACUCCCAUUCCCAUCAUUUUAUUUUCAGGCUUUCUCUGUCUUUCAGGGUGUGCACACAUGCCUUAAAGAUUUCAGUAGGAAAGAGUUAAGUCUUUCUUUCAGGUCUUUUGCUUCUUUGGUUAAUUAGAUUGAAAUUUCAACUAGAGGCUGCUCAGCUGGGAUCUAGCUAGUGCUGUCACCUGAAAUACUGCCCACCACACACACACUUUUGACAGGAAGAGCUGCUCAAAAGCCUCUCCAUGUCUCUAUUCCAGGAAUAAUUCAGGGAAAAGGGUUGAUACCCGUGAAAGCUGAGUGCUGGGGUCCUCUCUGUCCACGCUUCAAAAGAAUAACUACCCUCAGCCUGCCUUUAUUUUGUGUUACAGCUCUUCUUUUUCAAUGAAAAGUCCUUGCUGUCUCCUCAUUAUAAAGAAUAAAGAGCUUUUCAAGUGUGAGUUGCUAAACCCAGAAGGGAACAUAGCUAUUUUUAAGAGGGUUUCAACUCUGAGCUGUUCUACCAGGCCAGCCUGCCAGCCGCGGAGGUCUUGCAGGGAGGCCGAAGGCAAUCACAGCCUCUCUUCAGGAGGGGACAUACAGGAAGGAAGCUCCUGGGCAGAAACACUCUAGCUCUCUGGCCCACAGACAGCCCUGGUGCCUUGCUACCUGGCUCCUCCAGGCAAAACCCUGCCAGGGGGUCAGGGGAGUGGCUUUAAUUCUCACCCAUUUGAGGUUUGCCUGCUGCCUUAGGUUUCUCACAUCCACUUUCUCCAAAUAGGAAGCAAUCUGCUUGAUCCUCAUCCGGGAGCACAGGGAGGAGGGGGGCUGCCUUUAUGUCCUCUCCUAUCUUCAUCAAGCCAUGUGCAACUGGCAGCCACCGUGCUUCGCUCUGUGGGAAGAGGAUAAUCAGAGCCGGAUUCCGAAUGAAAGGAGGAACAUGCAGAGCCGCCUGCCUCCUGGCCAAUAGCAAUGGAAUCCUUGUGGCCUGGCUCAGGCCAGAGCUCUUCUAAGUCAGCGUGCUUUAGGGGCAGGGCUGGGCACUCAGACUCAGAGUUAGAGCGCCUGGGUUCGAGCCUCACCUCUUACAGCCUCUGUGCCCUUAGGGUAAAAUGGGGUAAUACCACCCUCCUCUUGGGUGUUGUGGGCACGGUUAUCCACCCUUAUAUGGGUAUGGAAAGGUCUGUCAACCCUGCAGUGUCACAUGUGUGUUAAUCAUUGAUCUGAAGGCUAUGGAGAUAUGCACUCUAAUUUCUUUCAAGAGCAGAAAAUGGUGCUGCUGGAUGACAGAGAAGAUAUUGUGAACUUGAUAGAAACUAUUAAUGAUUCAGGAGAUUGAGAUUAUGUUUUCUAUCUUCCCAUUCCAUUAAGCUUUUCCACCAGAGAAAAGGGGCAGGGAUUGAAACUAUUCCAUUAUUCUAGUAGCUUUUAGGAGGAAAGAACUGGCUUACAUUCGAAAAUGGUAAGCGGGAACAAGAAUGAUCAAUUGAUUUCAUACAAAGAAUGGCUAAAGGAAAUAGAGAAACUCGUUUGGUUAUCAUACACUUUGUAUGUAAAGAGCUUACAGACAUAUACUUCAGUUAAAAAAAAAAUUUCUGAGGAAAAAUAAUAGUCAGCAAAAAUAUAGGCAAAACCGGAAUGAUUAGAUCUAAGGAAAAAAGAGUGCAUAUACAUGAAGUUGAUAAGGUUACACUGUUACAAAGAUAGAGCAACCAAUAAGACUUGAGUUUCCAGAAAGCCAAAGCAAAAAGGGAAAUAUGAUGUUACCAAGUCUAUGUCUUUCAUGAGGAACCCCCUACUGCUACCAAUUCCUUAUCCUUUUUUAUCAUAAGACUCAUAAGCAUGGAUAUUUAUCUUCAGGAAGAGAAUACUUAGGGAAUUUCAUUAUGGUCUUCUUCGUGUAUUUGAUGGGCUGCCAAGUACAAAAAGGAAGAUUGCUUUGGGUAAUUCCAGACCACAAAACUAGAAUCAAUGAGUGUAAGUUAAGGGGAACAGAUUUUGGUUAAAAAUAAAGAACUUUCUAACAAUUAGAGUUGUCCAUAAAUGGAAUGAGCUGUCUGGCAAAGAAGUGAGCUCCCUGUUACUGGAAGUGAUCAAACAGAGGCUGGCUAACCAUCUGUUAAGGAUAAAAAGGAUUUGUGCAUAAUGAGAGAAUUAUGCAACAACAUAAUACAAAAUUCUUCAUGACAGUUUUAUUUAUAAUAGUAGGAAAGAAAAUAGAAUCAAGCUGCAUGCCCAACAAGAGGGGAUUUGUUAUAUUAUUUAUGGUGCUCUCACAUGAUUUACAGAUUUUACAGAUGUUAAAAAUCAAUGAAAUAAUGAUAUAUGUUCAUAACCUAUUAUUAGGUGAAAAAUACAGGCUACUAAAACAGUAUAGAUACUGUGAUAACAUUUUGUAAAGAAAAUGUGUGUACAGAAAAAAAUAACUGUAAAGAGCACAUACACGAAAACAUUAAUAGUGAUUACCAUGAGUGUUUGAAUUAUGGGUGAUUUUCCUCUUCUAGGCUUCUUGGGGUUUUCCAAGUUUUCUACUUCAAGCACUUACCACUUAUGCAAUUGGGAGGAAAAAAGUAAAAGGAAAAAUCUCCUGAAGUGUCUCUUAUUAACUAGUAAUUUAAACUAGGUAAUCCUUAUAGUUUUUCAACCCUAAAAUUUUAGAAUUUUAAUUUUAAACUUAGGUUGAUUUUUUCUUUUUUUCUUUUUCUUUUUUGGCUUUUUUAGGGCCACACCCUUGGCAUAUGGAGGUUCUCAAGCUAGGGGUCAAAUCAGAGCUAUAACUGCUGGCCAACAGCACAGCCACAGCAAUGCCAGAUCCAAGCCAUGUGUGUGACUGCAUACACCACAGCUCACGGCAAUACUGGAUCCUUAACCCACUCAUGAGGCCAGGGAUUGAACCUGUAUCCUCAGGGAUGCUAGUCAAAAGAUUUUAAUCAAAUACAAACACCUCUCC